UAGGUGGGAGGCUUUGAAGCACGUACGCCAGUAUGUGUGGAGCCGUCCUUGAAAUACCACCCUUGUAGUGUUGAUGUUCUAACGUCGACCCCUAAUCGGGGUUGCGGACAGUGCCUGGUGGGUAGUUUGACUGGGGCGGUCUCCUCCCAAAGAGUAACGGAGGAGCACGAAGGUGGGCUAAUCACGGUUGGACAUCGUGAGGUUAGUGCAAUGGCAUAAGCCCGCUUGACUGCGAGAAUGACAAUUCGAGCAGGUGCGAAAGCAGGUCAUAGUGAUCCGGUGGUUCUGAAUGGAAGGGCCAUCGCUCAACGGAUAAAAGGUACUCCGGGGAUAACAGGCUGAUACCGCCCAAGAGUUCAUAUCGACGGCGGUGUUUGGCACCUCGAUGUCGGCUCAUCACAUCCUGGGGCUGAAGUCGGUCCCAAGGGUAUGGCUGUUCGCCAUUUAAAGUGGUACGCGAGCUGGGUUUAGAACGUCGUGAGACAGUUCGGUCCCUAUCUGCCGUGGGCGUUGGAAGAUUGAAGGGGGCUGCUCCUAGUACGAGAGGACCGGAGUGGACGAACCUCUGGUGUUCGGGUUGUGUCGCCAGACGCAUUGCCCGGUAGCUAAGUUCGGAAUCGAUAACCGCUGAAAGCAUCUAAGCGGGAAGCGAGCCCUGAGAUGAGUCUUCCCUGAUACUUUAAGUAUCCUAAAGGGUUGUCGGAGACUACGACGUUGAUAGGUCAGGUGUGUAAGUGCUGUGAGGCAUUGAGCUAACUGAUACUAAUUGCCCGUGAGGCUUAACCAUACAACACCCAAGGGGUUU
RNAcentral lists this ribosomal RNA (805 nucleotides) under Vibrio parahaemolyticus. RNAcentral's name for it is "partial 23S ribosomal RNA". It matches the Rfam family "Bacterial large subunit ribosomal RNA", at positions 2144 to 2925 of the family's 2925-position model. Lineage: Bacteria; Pseudomonadati; Pseudomonadota; Gammaproteobacteria; Vibrionales; Vibrionaceae. The record is from RNAcentral.